CGGAGCCGGGGCGAGGGCGAGGGCGACGACGGCGGUCAUGGGGUCCGGCACCUGGCGCAAGGCCUACGGCGCCCUCAAGGACUCCACCAAGGUUGGCCUCGCCAACUUCAACAUCGAGUACAAGGAUUUGGAUAUCGCCAUCGUGAAGACGACGAACCACGUGGAGUGCCCGCCCAAGGAGCGGCACUUUAGGAGGAUAGUGUUUGCGAACUCGGCAAAUCGCCCGCGGGCCGACGUCG
Molecule: long non-coding RNA, 239 nt
Organism: Triticum dicoccoides
Lineage: Eukaryota; Viridiplantae; Streptophyta; Magnoliopsida; Poales; Poaceae
Exons: 3
Source: RefSeq, a predicted model, not a curated record